UCGGGAAUUUUGGGCAAUGGGCGAAAGCCUGACCCAGCAACGCCGCGUGAAGGAUGAAGUAUUUCGGUAUGUAAACUUCGAAAGAAUAGGAAGAAUAAAUGACGGUACUAUUUAUAAGGUCCGGCUAACUACGUGCCAGCAGCCGCGGUAAUACGUAGGGACCAAGCGUUGUUCGGAUUUACUGGGCGUAAAGGGCGCGUAGGCGGCAAUUCAAGUCAUCUGUGAAAUCUCCGGGCUUAACUCGGAACGGUCAGAUGAUACUGCUUUGCUAGAGUGCAGAAGGGGCAAUCGGAAUUCUUGGUGUAGCGGUGAAAUGCGUAGAUAUCAAGAGGAACACCUGAGGUGAAGACGGGUUGCUGGGCUGACACUGACGCUGAGGCGCGAAAGCCAGGGGAGCAAACGGGAUUAGAUACCCAAGUAGUCCUGAGCGGGCUGGCAAGGCGCAU
RNAcentral lists this ribosomal RNA (446 nucleotides) under uncultured bacterium. Its description in RNAcentral is "bacterial SSU rRNA". It matches the Rfam family "Bacterial small subunit ribosomal RNA", at positions 355 to 825 of the family's 1533-position model. The record is from RNAcentral.